This 70-nucleotide ribozyme is filed under the name Rodentolepis nana. Its description in RNAcentral is "Hymenolepis nana HDV ribozyme from F. prausnitzii". It matches the Rfam family "HDV ribozyme from F. prausnitzii". The record is from Rfam by way of RNAcentral. Lineage: Eukaryota; Metazoa; Platyhelminthes; Cestoda; Cyclophyllidea; Hymenolepididae.
GGUGUGCGAUAGACUUACCUCCACGUGGUGCACUCCGGGCAACGUAUUCUCCUACGGCAAAAAAGUCUAU